GCAUUGGCGGUUCAGUGGUAGAAUUCUCACCUCCCAAGCGAGAGACUCGGGUUCGAGUUCCAGCCAGUGCA
RNAcentral lists this transfer RNA (71 nucleotides) under Loxodonta africana (African savanna elephant). It matches the Rfam family "tRNA". Rfam says of the family: Transfer RNA (tRNA) molecules are approximately 80 nucleotides in length. Their secondary structure includes four short double-helical elements and three loops (D, anti-codon, and T loops). Further hydrogen bonds mediate the characteristic L-shaped molecular structure. tRNAs have two regions of fundamental functional importance: the anti-codon, which is responsible for specific mRNA codon recognition, and the 3' end, to which the tRNAs corresponding amino acid is attached (by aminoacyl-tRNA synthetases). tRNAs cope with the degeneracy of the genetic code in two manners: having more than one tRNA (with a specific anti-codon) for a particular amino acid; and 'wobble' base-pairing, i.e. permitting non-standard base-pairing at the 3rd anti-codon position. Lineage: Eukaryota; Metazoa; Chordata; Mammalia; Proboscidea; Elephantidae. The record is from Rfam by way of RNAcentral.